CGAACGAAAAGACGGAAAGAGCUUGCUCUUUUCAGAAUUGAGUGGCAAACGGGUGAGUAACACGUAAACAACCUGCCUUCAGGAUGGGGACAACAGACGGAAACGACUGCUAAUACCGAAUAAGUUCCAAGGGCCGCAUGGCCCAUGGAAGAAAAGGUGGCCUCUACCUGUAAGCUAUCGCCUGAAGAGGGGUUUGCGUCUGAUUAGCUGGUUGGAGGGGUAACGGCCCACCAAGGCGACGAUCAGUAGCCGGUCUGAGAGGAUGAACGGCCACACUGGAACUGAGACACGGUCCAGACUCCUACGGGAGGCAGCAGUGGGGAAUCUUCCGCAAUGGGCGAAAGCCUGACGGAGCAACGCCGCGUGAGUGAUGACGGCCUUCGGGUUGUAAAACUCUGUGAUCCGGGACGAAAAGGCAGAGUGCGAAGAACAAACUGCAUUGACGGUACCGGAAAAGCAAGCCACGGCUAACUACGUGCCAGCAGCCGCGGUAAUACGUAGGUGGCAAGCGUUGUCCGGAAUUAUUGGGCGUAAAGCGCGCGCAGGCGGCUUCCCAAGUCCCUCUUAAAAGUGCGGGGCUUAACCCCGUGAUGGGAAGGAAACUGGGAAGCUGGAGUAUCGGAGAGGAAAGCGGAAUUCCUAGUGUAGCGGUGAAAUGCGUAGAGAUUAGGAAGAACACCGGUGGCGAAGGCGACUUUCUGGACGAAAACUGACGCUGAGGCGCGAAAGCGUGGGGAGCAAACAGAAUUAGAUACCCUGGUAGUCCACGCCGUAAACGAUGGGAUACUAGGUGUAGGAGGAUUGGACCCCUCCUGUGCCGGAGUUAACGCAAUAAGUAUCCCGCCUGGGGAAGUACGAUCGCAAGAUUUAAAACUCAAAGGAAUUGACGGGGGCCCGCACAAGCGGUGGAGUAUGUGGUUUAAUUCGACGCAACGCGAAGAACCUUACCAGGUCUUGACAUUGAUCGCGAUCUGCAGAAAUGCGG
This 985-nucleotide ribosomal RNA is filed under the name uncultured bacterium. RNAcentral describes it as "bacterial SSU rRNA". It matches the Rfam family "Bacterial small subunit ribosomal RNA", at positions 63 to 1011 of the family's 1533-position model. The record is from RNAcentral.